This 253-nucleotide ribosomal RNA is filed under the name uncultured bacterium. Its description in RNAcentral is "partial 16S ribosomal RNA". It matches the Rfam family "Bacterial small subunit ribosomal RNA", at positions 524 to 776 of the family's 1533-position model. The record is from RNAcentral.
UACAGAGGUCUCAAGCGUUGUUCGGAUUCAUUGGGCGUAAAGGGUGUGUAGGUGGCGCGCUAAGUCGGGUGUGAAAUUUCGGAGCUUAACUCCGAAACUGCAUUCGAUACUGGCGUGCUUGAGGACUGGAGAGGAGACUGGAAUUCAUGGUGUAGCAGUGAAAUGCGUAGAGAUCAUGAGGAAGACCAGUGGCGAAGGCGGCGACCUGGACAGUUACUGACACUCAACUACGAAAGCGUGGGGAGCAAACAGG